GACAUAUUUGGGUUCUGCGAUCUUAUUCCGCGUUUGGCGUAGCCGCGCGCAGGUCGGCCUGCAAGGCACCGUGUUUCGUUCGUGAAUGGGUUCAAGCGGCCUGGCCUGCAAGGCCUUGUGGGCUGCUGCGGGAAGACCGCAACCGCCUGCGAGGCCCGCACGGCUGGAGCCUGCAAAGCGCCGCAUCGACCGCGUCGCCGCUGCCUGCUCGGCGGUCGGCGCCCUCCGGUGACUGUGCAGCCUGCUCGGCUGCGGCGCCGCCACAUACUGCAUCUCCUUCGGCUCAUCCAAGGAGUCUCUUCUUCUCCGACGCGUCCCACAAGAAGGGCGACGCCAGGGCCGCCACUGCCAAGUGCCAACAGCACCGCCGCCUCCGGCGAGGAACGCCAAUUUUUGUUGUCAAGGUCGACCUCAGGAACGGGGACGGCCCGAAUCCGCCGCCGUCCGUCCCUCGUCGGUGAUCAUGGGGCGGUGGUCGUCCCCAAAGGACCCCGCCCUGGAAGCGGCGCUCCGGCGCAACCGCCGCUGGGUCGUGAACAACCAGAUCAAGCGCCUCCUCCUCCGUUUCCCUUCCCGCACGGCGCCCGUGAGGUUCCUACAGUCCCGCUUCAAGACGCUCGACCUCAUGGGCCGCGCCGCCAACUGGCUCGGCAAGUACCCCUCCUGCUUCGAGGUCUUCUCCGCCGACGCCGGUGGCGGCGAGCUGGAGCCCCACUUCGGCUUCACCAAGCGGAUGGCGGCGCUCGUCGACGCCGAGGAGGCCGCAGUCGCGGCCUCCGAGCCGGCCAUGGCGGACCGCCUCGCGCGGGUGCUCAUGCUCGCCCGCGGCCGGCGCCUCCAGGUCUCAAAGCUCGCCGCGCUGCGGGGCCCGCUCGGGCUCCCCGACGACUACCUCCUCCGCCUCCUCCCGGCCCACACCGACCUUUUCCGCCUCUCCAACCCGUACCCGCACCGCCGCAACGCAGCCGAGCUGGAGCUCAUCCGGUGGGCGCCCUCGCUCGCCGUCUCUGCCGUCGAGGCCGCCGCGGCCGUGAGCAACUCCGCCCCGCGGUUCAACUGCUCGUUGCCCGCCUCCUGGGCCAAGUCGCACGCCAAGAUGGAGGACUUCAACUCCACGCCUUACAUCUCGCCCUACUCGGAGGAGUGGGCCGUGCCGUGCACGGACGCCGAGGCCGAGAAGCGAGCGGUGGCCGUGGUGCACGAACUCCUCUCACUCACGCUGUGGAGAAAGAUGUCAAUUCUGAAGCUGGAGCAUUUCAGGAGGGAGUUUGGACUGCCUGAGGACACGGCAAGGAUGCUGUUCCGGUACCCUUGCCUCUUCUAUGUGUCGAAUAGAUACAAGAUUCACACGGUGGUGCUGCGCGAGGGGUACGAGGGGUCGGAGUUGAGGGAGAAGGAUCCUGUCGUGGCAGCUAAGGAUUGGCUUGGGGAGCUCAUGCAGGAGGGGCUGCAUGAGUAUAAUCAAGGAAGGCGUGCUGCGAAUAUUGAGAAGAAGAGGAGGAGAGGGGAGAUUGAGGUUAAGAAAGAGGAAGAGAAGGUGGAAGAUGAGGAAACAGCUCAGCUAGAUAGUGCAGAGAAGAGGGAGGAGAGGAGACGGUUUUACAAGGUGUUGUUCGAUGAUGGCAAUCGGUGAUUGUUAGAGGAAGGUGAAGAUCAUCAGCAUAUGAUUUGCUUAUUGGACCUUGAGCUGUUGAGCACUUUGCUAUUUUGCAAUGGAAUAGAUUUUGUUGACUGCUAAUCAGAACAUGUGACUGAAGAUCUGCAGUAUGCGACAAUUUAACCUUGUUGGAUCAAGGCAAUUACUUUAUGGAUGCAAUAAGAUUAGUAUUGUCACAGGCAGUAAGAGGUUGCAGAACAUAUUGCUAAGAGAAUGUAUUAAUGGAUUGACGAUGGUUAUGAUAAGAUUGGGAUUUCUAUGGGGCUCACAAGUGAGAUAACAGUGCAGCCUGAGUUGUUUCCGGGCCAUAGAGAAUGGUAUUCAUGAGCUGCAAAUGUUGCUGUUGAGGUAUGACUGAAUGACUGCAAAUGAAUAAUUCAAGACUGGCUGAUCUUUCAGCAGAACAAUAAUUUUACCUUAUAAGCUCCACUUUUUUUGCAUAGCAAAUAUUUGAACCUAAGACCCUGAACUUCAGUAAGCAAUUGGGUAUAUGGUAAGCUGCAACUCAUCUUGUUUCUUUGCCCUGUGUCAUUUUUAGUUUCAUUAGGAUGAUAGUCUUCCAGUUGGGCAAUUUCUUGUAUUCCUUUGGGGCAUUUAAAUCCUGAAUUACUAAAUUCAUACAAAAUCUCACGCAUGUCUAUUGUCUCGUCAAUCAUUUCAUGGGCGUCUAUAGUUAUGAAUAAUCCCUUGUGUGCCUUGUGGGCACUUUAAUUA
RNA transcript from Setaria italica (foxtail millet), 2371 nucleotides. It is a transcript of the gene named protein ROOT PRIMORDIUM DEFECTIVE 1, with no coding region annotated. The record is from RefSeq and is a predicted model, not a curated record. NCBI's taxonomy places the organism in Eukaryota, Viridiplantae, Streptophyta, Magnoliopsida, Poales, Poaceae. The transcript is spliced from 2 exons.